GCGAGUGUCGUAUAGUGGCCAUUACGCUUGCUUCCCAAGCAAGUGACGGCGGUUCGAUUCCGCUCACUCGCU
RNAcentral lists this transfer RNA (72 nucleotides) under Patescibacteria group bacterium. RNAcentral's name for it is "tRNA-Gly". It matches the Rfam family "tRNA". Rfam says of the family: Transfer RNA (tRNA) molecules are approximately 80 nucleotides in length. Their secondary structure includes four short double-helical elements and three loops (D, anti-codon, and T loops). The record is from RNAcentral. RNAcentral also lists the same sequence under 3 other names.